This 345-nucleotide ribosomal RNA is filed under the name uncultured Glomus. RNAcentral's name for it is "SSU rRNA". It matches the Rfam family "Eukaryotic small subunit ribosomal RNA", at positions 751 to 1092 of the family's 1831-position model. The record is from RNAcentral. Lineage: Eukaryota; Fungi; Glomeromycota; Glomeromycetes; Glomerales; Glomeraceae.
AACUUUGUAAAAAAAUUAAGUAAGUGUUUAAAGCAAGCUAACGCUUGAAUACAUUAGCAUGGAUAAUGAAAUAGGACGUUCGAUCCUAUUUUGUUGGUUUCUAGGAUUGACGUAAUGAUUAAUAGGGAUAUUGGGGGCAUUAGUAUUCAAUUGUCAGAGGUGAAAUUCUUGGAUUUAUUGAAGACUAACUACUGCGAAAAGCAUUUGCCAAGGAUGUUUUCAUUAAUCAAGAACGAAAGUUAGGGGAUCGAAGACGAUCAGAUACCGUCGUAGUCUUAACCAUAAACUAUGCCGACUAGGGAUCGGAUGAUGUUAAUUUUUUAAUGACUCAUUCGGCGCCUUACG